RNAcentral lists this ribosomal RNA (384 nucleotides) under uncultured bacterium. RNAcentral describes it as "bacterial SSU rRNA". It matches the Rfam family "Bacterial small subunit ribosomal RNA", at positions 29 to 412 of the family's 1533-position model. The record is from RNAcentral.
AACGAACGUUGGCGGCAUGGAUUAGGCAUGCAAGUCGCACGAAUCCCAUCUGGGUAACUGGGUGGGAAAGUGGCGAAAGGGGCAGUAAGGCGUGGGUAACUUGCCCCGGAGUUCGGAAUAGCUUCCUAACGGAUGGGUAAUACCGAAUGCCCUAUCGAGGGGCAUCCUCUUGAUACGAAAGUUACGGCGCUCCGGGAGGGGCCCACGUAGUAUUAGCUAGUUGGUGAGGUAACGGCUCACCAAGGCCAAGAUGCUUAGCAGGUGUGAGAGCACGACCUGCGCCACUGGCACUGGGACACUGGCCAGACUCCUACGGAGGCUGCAGUCGAGGAUCUUUGGCAAUGGGCGCAAGCCUUGACCGAGCGAUGCCGCGUGUGCGAUGAA